Molecule: ribosomal RNA, 206 nt
Filed under: uncultured bacterium
Lineage: Bacteria
Description: partial 16S ribosomal RNA
Rfam family: Bacterial small subunit ribosomal RNA
Source: RNAcentral
CAGAUUGCAGGCUGCAACCCGCCUGCAUGAAGUCGGAAUUGCUAGUAAUCGCGGAUCAGCAUGCCGCGGUGAAUACGUUCCCGGGCCUUGUACACACCGCCCGUCACACCAUGGGAGCCGGUAAUACCCGAAGUCAGUAGUCCAACCACGUGAGGACGCUGCCGAAGGUAGGAUUGGCGACUGGGGUGAAGUCGUAACAAGGUAGC